AGUGAACGCUGGCGGUAGGCCUAACACAUGCAAGUCGAACGGCAGCACAGUAAGAGCUUGCUCUUACGGGUGGCGAGUGGCGGACGGGUGAGGAAUACAUCGGAAUCUACUUUUUCGUGGGGGAUAACGUAGGGAAACUUACGCUAAUACCGCAUACGACCUACGGGUGAAAGCAGGGGAUCUUCGGACCUUGCGCGAUUGAAUGAGCCGAUGUCGGAUUAGCUAGUUGGCGGGGUAAAGGCCCACCAAGGCGACGAUCCGUAGCUGGUCUGAGAGGAUGAUCAGGCAAACCGGAACUGAGGCACGGUCCAGACUCCUACGGGAGGGAGCAGUGGGGAAUAUUUGACAAUGGGCGCAAGCCUGAACCAGCCAUACCGGGGGGGGGAAAAAGGGCUUCGGGUUUUAAAGCCCUUUUGUUGGGAAAAAAAAACAGGAGGUUAAAACCCCGCUGUUCUGACGGUACCCAAAGAAUAAGCACCGGCUAACUUCGUG
RNAcentral lists this ribosomal RNA (492 nucleotides) under uncultured bacterium. Its description in RNAcentral is "partial 16S ribosomal RNA". It matches the Rfam family "Bacterial small subunit ribosomal RNA", at positions 29 to 507 of the family's 1533-position model. The record is from RNAcentral.